Portunus trituberculatus (swimming crab) is the source of this 827-nucleotide long non-coding RNA. RefSeq lists it as uncharacterized. The record is from RefSeq and is a predicted model, not a curated record. The transcript has 3 exons. Lineage: Eukaryota; Metazoa; Arthropoda; Malacostraca; Decapoda; Portunidae.
CAAAAAACUCCACCUGACCCUUGAGACGAUCCACCUGGCCUCCAGCAAUAGCCGCCACCACCACCACCCCAGAUUGGGCGCCGCCUAAACGACCACCUGAGCACAUCAUCACCAUAAGGAAGUACAUCAGGAUACACAGUAACAGAACCACACAACUCUACAAGCGGCGUCCAUCAAGGCUACCACGCCCCCAUAAAGCUGCCGGCAAUGUGUUCGUAUCUACACGCCUUAUACUGGAAGCUGCCCAGCCACAACCACCUCGCCGCCUGGAUGAAAUAAUUCCUCCGAUUCCAUCAAAAGCAAUGCAUAAUUGAAGGCGGGGCGAGCCAUGAAGGGUCGCGGUCAUGAGGCUGAGCGUGGCUGCCAACCGUAUGAGUAAUGCACACCAGCCUUUGACACUCCCUCGCUCUGUUUGCUUUCCAGAAUAUCAUAACUACCGCAGGAAAAUACUUUUAGAUCAACAUUCAUUUCAUAUUUGCAACUCUGAGUUUUGUAUAUGUAUUUAUGAAUGUGUGUGUGUGUGUGUGUGUGUGUGUGUGUGUGUGUGUGUGUGUGUGUGUGUGUGUGUGUGUGUGUGUGUGUGUUUAUUUCCAUCGCCAGCAGGAAAUUAUAAAACACGAUGAAAUUUCCGUGAAAACAAAUUUGUUUUAGUGGCACACUUUGGUUUACCAUUUGUGAAGGGGGAUUACUUAAUUGUUUUUCCUCCCUGCACCAAACUAUUACUGUUCCUGAAAUGACGCUCAGGUAAUGCCGCGGCACUUACAAUUAAAAAAUUUAUUUCAUGGUGAAAAAACAUUGUUGUGACAUCUCUUUGAGAGAGAAAGAGA